RNAcentral lists this unclassified non-coding RNA (195 nucleotides) under uncultured Elaphomyces. Its description in RNAcentral is "sequence contains ITS1". Lineage: Eukaryota; Fungi; Ascomycota; Eurotiomycetes; Eurotiales; Elaphomycetaceae. The record is from RNAcentral.
CCGAGGUUUCCCGGGGGGCUCUCCCCCCCUCCCGGAAACGGGAGGGGGAGGCUCCCCCGAUCUCUCUUUUUCCACCGUGCUGAAUUGACCCCUGUUGCUUCAGCGGGCAUCCUGGCGGUGGAGAUCUCCCUGUAACCUUCUGAUGGGCUUUUUAAGUGAAGAAUUUGUCUGAGUGGGCGUGAAAUUUUCGUUAUA